This 220-nucleotide long non-coding RNA is filed under the name Eutrema salsugineum. Its description in RNAcentral is "long non-coding RNA (ESAL_LNC000942)". The record is from RNAcentral. Lineage: Eukaryota; Viridiplantae; Streptophyta; Magnoliopsida; Brassicales; Brassicaceae.
UGGGCUUCAAUUUGAUAUCUUGACUGUUGCGUGGAUUAACACGGUUCGCCAGAUAAUCGCCUCGAAGUUGACGGUACAGAAGAGAGAGGAAAAGGCCGAGAGAGAGAUAAGAUGAGAGGAGGGAAGAGCAGAGACAAGGCAAUGAGAAAGGAGGAGGAUCAGGAUCACGUCAUGGAGGAGGAGAGGAGGAUGCUCGGCAGAUUGGAGAAGGAGGAGAAGA